This 76-nucleotide transfer RNA is filed under the name Geobacillus kaustophilus HTA426. RNAcentral describes it as "transfer RNA trnO-Val". The stretch from base 1 to 66 matches the Rfam family "tRNA". From Rfam's summary of the family: Transfer RNA (tRNA) molecules are approximately 80 nucleotides in length. Their secondary structure includes four short double-helical elements and three loops (D, anti-codon, and T loops). Lineage: Bacteria; Bacillati; Bacillota; Bacilli; Caryophanales; Anoxybacillaceae. The record is from RNAcentral.
UAGCUCAGCUGGGAGAGCACUUGCCUUACAAGCAAGGGGUCGGCGGUUCGAUCCCGUCAUCCUCCACCAUCUUAAU